RNAcentral lists this ribosomal RNA (498 nucleotides) under uncultured bacterium. RNAcentral's name for it is "partial 16S ribosomal RNA". It matches the Rfam family "Bacterial small subunit ribosomal RNA", at positions 30 to 523 of the family's 1533-position model. The record is from RNAcentral.
AUUGAACGCUGGCGGCAUGCCUUACACAUGCAAGUCGAACGGUAACAGGUCUUCGGAUGCUGACGAGUGGCGAACGGGUGAGUAAUGCAUCGGAACGUGCCCAGUAGUGGGGGAUAGCCCGGCGAAAGCCGGAUUAAUACCGCAUACGACCUGAGGGUGAAAGGGGGGGAUCGCAAGACCUCUCGCUAUUGGAGCGGCCGAUGUCAGAUUAGCUAGUUGGUGGGGUAAAGGCCUACCAAGGCAACGAUCUGUAGUUGGUCUGAGAGGACGACCAGCCACACUGGGACUGAAAAACGGCCCAGACUCCUACGGGAGGCAGCAGUGGGGAAUUUUGGACAAUGGGCGCAAGCCUAAUCCAGCAAUGCCGCGUGCAGGAAGAAGGCCUUCGGGUUGUAAACUGCUUUUGUCAGGGAAGAAAUCUUCUGGGUUAAUACCUCGGGAGGAUGACGGUACCUGAAGAAUAAGCACCGGCUAACUACGUGCCAGCCGCCGCCGUAA